UGAAGCUCAAUGAGGGACCUUGGGUUAGUCACUGUCUCUCGGCCUAGUCCGUCCCACAGGGUUAUUGUGAUGAUAAAAUGGGGAGGGGAGAACCAUGUACACCACCUUGAGAUCAUUGGGGGGAGGGGGAGAAGCUGGUAUAUAAAUGUGAUAAAGAAAUAGCUCAUACCCUACAUCAAGGGAUGGGGGAACUGUUCCCUAUAUGGUGUUGGACUCCCAUCAGCCCCAGCCAGCAUCACUAAAGGUCAGGGGUGAUAGGAAUUGCAGUCCAGUACCCCUGAGAGGGGCACAGGUUCCCUUUUCCUGCCUUCUAGCCAUAGCCUGGUUCUCAACACCACAUUGUCCUUUCCCCCAGUGUGUUGCCCUACAAUGAUGUUCUUAUGUCGCUUACAGUUUAGGAGACUCAAGGGAUCCGAAGGGGAUACAAGCAAUGCAUCUGCUCUUUAUACUGGCCAAUCGAGAGGAAAGUAGACUACUAUUUAAUGUUGGUCAUGGAACCAUUCAAACUAUGGAGAUGACAACAAUUGAGCAAGACUUUGGAAGGAAGGACAAGGGUUUUAAUUGGGACACAGAGAGAAAAUGCUACCAGUUUGGUUGGUUUUUGCAAGGCCAAGCGGCAAAGUCUCCUUUAUUUGGCAGCCUGGGGGCAGGGACUGUGUUUGUUCUCAUGUUCAGGAUCAGAUUGGCUGCCAUGUUUGUGGUGUGGAAUGGGUUUUGUCAUGUCACCCAUCCCACUCACACCCCUUCAAAUUCAAGAGUGAGGAAGGGUAUUUCACUCCACCGAGUGGAGUGGCUUCUUCUUGAGUAAUUGGAAGUGUUUGCUCUGCAGCUGCCUCUCUGCUCCUAGCCUACUAUUGUGGGGUUGUGCUUGUAUUGGGACUCUGGGCAUAGGAGCCAACUCCCCUUUGCCCCCCCC
Molecule: non-coding RNA, 916 nt
Organism: Podarcis lilfordi (Lilford's wall lizard)
Lineage: Eukaryota; Metazoa; Chordata; Lepidosauria; Squamata; Lacertidae
Source: the annotation of a GenBank genome assembly